Molecule: ribosomal RNA, 428 nt
Filed under: uncultured bacterium
Lineage: Bacteria
Description: partial 16S ribosomal RNA
Rfam family: Bacterial small subunit ribosomal RNA
Source: RNAcentral
GUGGGGAAUAUUGGGCAAUGGGCGAAAGCCUGACCCAGCAACGCCGCGUGAGGGAAGAAGGUUUUCGGAUUGUAAACCUCUGUCCUUGGUGACGAAGGAAGUGACGGUAGCCAAGGAGGAAGCCCCGGCUAACUACGUGCCAGCAGCCGCGGUAAUACGUAGGGGGCGAGCGUUGUCCGGAAUGACUGGGCGUAAAGGGCGUGUAGGCGGCCGAUUAAGUCUGGAGUGAAAGUCCUGCUUUCAAGGUGGGAAUUGCUUUGGAGACUGGUUGGCUUGAGUGCGGAAGAGGUAAGUGGAAUUCCCAGUGUAGCGGUGAAAUGCGUAGAGAUUGGGAGGAACACCAGUGGCGAAGGCGACUUACUGGGCCGUAACUGACGCUGAGGCGCGAAAGCGUGGGGAGCGAACAGGAUUAGAUACCCGUGUAGUCC